Molecule: ribosomal RNA, 403 nt
Filed under: bacterium
Lineage: Bacteria
Description: partial 16S ribosomal RNA
Rfam family: Bacterial small subunit ribosomal RNA
Source: RNAcentral
UGGGGAAUAUUGCACAAUGGGGGAAACCCUGAUGCAGCGACGCCGCGUGAACGAAGAAGGUAUUCGUAUCGUAAAGUUCUGUCCUAUGGGAAGAUAAUGACAGUACCAUAGAAGAAAGCUCCGGCUAAAUACGUGCCAGCAGCCGCGGUAAUAAGUAUGGAGCGAGCGUUGUCCGGAAUUAUUGGGCGUAAAGGGUACGCAGGCGGUUUAAUAAGUCGAAUGUUAAAGAUCGGGGCUCAACCCCGCAAAGCAUUGGAAACUGAUAAGCUUGAGUAGUGGAGAGGGAAGUGGAAUUCCUAGUGUAGUGGUGAAAUACGUAGAUAUUAGGAGGAAUACCAGUAGCGAAAGCGACUUUCUGGACACAAACUGACGCUGAGGUACGAAAGCGUGGGGAGCGAACAGG